RNAcentral lists this non-coding RNA (30 nucleotides) under Mus musculus (house mouse). The record is from RNAcentral. Lineage: Eukaryota; Metazoa; Chordata; Mammalia; Rodentia; Muridae.
UUAUAUGAUAAUGAGCAACCAUCAAGGAAC